Mytilus californianus (California mussel) is the source of this 2173-nucleotide long non-coding RNA. RefSeq lists it as uncharacterized. Lineage: Eukaryota; Metazoa; Mollusca; Bivalvia; Mytilida; Mytilidae. The record is from RefSeq and is a predicted model, not a curated record. The transcript is spliced from 3 exons.
CAUGUAUCGAUGCAUUUUUUUAUUUGAAUUAAGGUAUGACAAAACACAUUUCAUUUGUCGUGUCAUUGUUUGUCUUUCCGAGGUUGUGAUGACUAUUUGUUAAGAAUCUAAGAAUCAAAAAAGAAGUUAUGGCAUGUUGUGGAGAUGCUUCCGGUUGGGCUAAAGUCGGUUUCAUUUGCAUCUUUCUCGCGUUUGGAUUGCAGUCUGCUGCCUUUCUGACAAACUACUGGAUGGUGUAUAACACAGCUAAGGAUCUGUUUGAUAUAAGAGUUGGACUACUCUGGUACACAAAUUGUACGUCUGCUUGCGCUACUUCUACAACUCCAAGCAGUUACCAUUCUUUAUUUUUCACACUGGCCAAGAUACUUGAAGGUGUCACCAUCGGACUAUUUUUCAUCAUUGUGGUUAUUUACGCCUUCUACGUACUCGCAGACAGAAGCAGGACAAGGGCAACAGCGAAAUCUAUUAUAAUUCUGAUAGUCACAUCGGAACUAUUUCCAAUUGGUGGAAUUGUAUUAUGGAUUCUGCAGAUAGAUUUUCCAUAUUUCCUAGCUUGGUCGGCUGGAAUGUCCAUGAUAGCUACAGGAUUAGCAUUUUUUUCAAUGCUAUGCUUGAUUCCAGAUUUAAAAGAAUAUCCAUAUUAUAACAAAAUGGCAAUCCUUCCAAUGGACAAUAACUUUGAUGAUAUGCAGUAUCGGAAAUACGAUACUAAAAAGAACACUUAUGUCGACCAAGACAAGCUUGACAGAGAACCGAAACGAAAACCCCAUUUAAAAGAUCCAUAUUCGAUGAAAGAUUCUUUCAUGGAUGAUGAUAUAGACAGAAAGGCCUUAAUGGUUACUCCGUCUAGACCACCAAGAUAUGAUUUUUUGAAGCAAAACCCUUAUCCGUUGUCAACAAAAUUUUAAUGUCAGUUACUGGAUGUAUAUUGUGUACAACUUAUAAUUCAAUAAUAAAACAAACGGUAUGGGGUAUUCAUCCCUGAUUUAUACAUAUUUUUUUUACAAGUUAUCAGUAUUCAUCUAUGACAGCUAUAUACCAAGGAGCAAAUGGUAGUACUAUUUCAUCAAAGACAUCCUCGCGCAAUUCAUAAAUUAUAAUUUUUUUAUUAUAAUCUGCAAUAGCUAAUUUCCCUGAUGCCAGCGAUUUAUUAAUAAUAUCUCUUAUAUCAAACCCUGGGAACGUAGCGUGGUGAAAUAAGGGGAAUCUGUAUGUAUUGUCUUUGGAAAUUUGGGUGAUGUGUGGUAAGUUCAUGAUGCAGAUUUACGAGUAAUUUGGUGAACCUGGAAGCAGCUUUAGCACAUAUUCAUCCUAUACAGUCCUGGCAAUAAUACACAUCAGCACAUGCAUCCUUUACAGUCCUGACAAUAAUAUACAUCAGCACAUCCAUCCUAUACAGUCCUGACAAUAAUACACAUCAGCACAUCCAUCCUAUACAGUCCUGACAAUAAUACACAUCAGCACAUCCAUCCUAUACAGUCCUGACAAUAAUACACACCAGCACAUCCAUCCUACACAGUCCUGACAAUAAUACACAUCAGCACAUCCAUCCUAUACAGUCCUGACAAUAAUACACACCAGCACAUCCAUCCUACACAGUCCUGACGAUAAUACACAUCAGCAAUAUCUUCGACUUCAUACUAACAUACAAAGUAACUAAAAGAUAACAAAAUAACAUUUGGCAUUUGUCAAAUACUCCAAAAAUGAAACGAAAGGCAACCAUUAGUUUAAUACUGGUACAUUUUUUUUGUAUUUUUUUGUUAUUUCAUCUGAUCUAUAAUCAUCAAUAAUUUACGGUAUUAUGUUAAAAAAUAAAUGAAAUGAGUUUCGUGCGCAUAUGAGUGUUUCUGAGAAACCUUAAUCAGGUAAGCUCGUGAACACAUUGUGGGGUUCAAAAAUCCGACGUCUACUUCUUUCACCAUACUAUUCAUAAUUUUUAUACUUUAACCUAAUAUAAAGCACCGUCUACUUUGAGGAAUAAUGCUGCAAAUAACACAAGACUGGGUGAGAUUCUAUAUAUCAUACCCGAUACUAAGCACCCAAAAUAUCUUUUAGUGUUAUUAUAUAAACUGUGUAUGAGUGUUAUGUAUAAGACUGUAGCGUGUAGUCAUGUUAGUAUGGUAAUGAUAAGACAAUACAAUAAAAGCUUACUUGUUUUAUCCAAUUAUGUUAA